AUGCUCGCUUGGACAGUCUAUAUACUAAAAUUGGAAUGAUCCAGAGAAGAUUAGCAUGGCCCCUGUGCUAGGAUGACACACAAGUUCCUGAAGCGUCCUAUAUUUAA
Molecule: small nuclear RNA, 107 nt
Filed under: Nannospalax galili (Upper Galilee mountains blind mole rat)
Lineage: Eukaryota; Metazoa; Chordata; Mammalia; Rodentia; Spalacidae
Source: RNAcentral